This 920-nucleotide ribosomal RNA is filed under the name uncultured bacterium. RNAcentral describes it as "bacterial SSU rRNA". It matches the Rfam family "Bacterial small subunit ribosomal RNA", at positions 8 to 916 of the family's 1533-position model. The record is from RNAcentral.
AGAGUUUGAUCCUGGCUCAGGACGAACGCUGGCGGCGUGCUUAAUACAUGCAAGUCGAGCGGGGUUACUGCGACAGAUCCCUUCGGGGUGACGUUGCUUUAACCUAGCGGCGGACGGGUGAGUAACGCGUGGGUAACCUACCCUAAAGCUCGGGAUAACAGUGGGAAACCGCUGCUAAUACCGGAUGACUUUAACCUAUGGCAUCAUGGGUUAAAGAAAGAUUUAUCGCUUUAGGAUGGGCCCGCGUCCCAUUAGCUAGUUGGUGAGGUAACGGCUCACCAAGGCGACGAUGGGUAGCCGGCCUGAGAGGGUGUACGGCCACACUGGGACUGAGACACGGCCCAGACUCCUACGGGAGGCAGCAGUAGGGAAUAUUGCGCAAUGGACGGAAGUCUGACGCAGCGACGCCGCGUGAGCGAUGAAGGCCUUCGGGUCGUAAAGCUCUGUCCUUGGGGAAGAAGGUCUUCGGACUUGACGGUACCCAAGAAGAAAGCCCCGGCUAACUACGUGCCAGCAGCCGCGGUAAUACGUAGGGGGCGAGCGUUGUCCGGAAUUACUGGGCGUAAAGGGUGCGUAGGCGGCCCUUUAAGUCAGAUGUGAAAGGCCACGGCUUAACCGUGGGAUUGCAUUUGAAACUGGAGGGCUUGAGUGUCGGAGAGGGUAGUGGAAUUCCCAGUGUAGCGGUGAAAUGCGUAGAUAUUGGGAGGAACACCAGUGGCGAAGGCGACUACCUGGACGAUAACUGACGCUGAGGCACGAAAGCUAGGGGAGCAAACAGGAUUAGAUACCCUGGUAGUCCUAGCCGUAAACGAUGGGUACUAGGUGUAGGUGGUUUCGAUACCAUCUGUGCCGGAGUUAACGCAAUAAGUACCCCGCCUGGGGAGUACGUGCGCAAGCAUGAAACUCAAAUGAAUUGACGG